ACGCACGCUGGCGGCGCGCCUAACACAUGCAAGUCGAACGAGCGAGAGAGAGCUUGCUUUCUUGAGCGAGUGGCGAACGGGUGAGUAACGCGUGAGGAACCUGCCUCAAAGAGGGGGACAACAGUUGGAAACGACUGCUAAUACCGCAUAAGCCCACGACCCGGCAUCGGGUUGAGGGAAAAGGAGCAAUCCGCUUUGAGAUGGCCUCGCGUCCGAUUAGCUAGUUGGUGAGGUAACGGCCCACCAAGGCGACGAUCGGUAGCCGGACUGAGAGGUUGAACGGCCACAUUGGGACUGAGACACGGCCCAGACUCCUACGGGAGGCAGCAGUGGGGAAUAUUGCACAAUGGGGGAAACCCUGAUGCAGCGACGCCGCGUGGAGGAAGAAGGUCUUCGGAUUGUAAACUCCUGUUGUUGAGGAAGAUAAUGACGGUACUCAACAAGGAAGUGACGGCUAACUACGUG
This 465-nucleotide ribosomal RNA is filed under the name uncultured bacterium. RNAcentral's name for it is "partial 16S ribosomal RNA". It matches the Rfam family "Bacterial small subunit ribosomal RNA", at positions 29 to 507 of the family's 1533-position model. The record is from RNAcentral.